RNAcentral lists this signal recognition particle RNA (99 nucleotides) under Deltaproteobacteria bacterium. Its description in RNAcentral is "signal recognition particle sRNA small type". It matches the Rfam family "Bacterial small signal recognition particle RNA". Rfam says of the family: The signal recognition particle (SRP) is a universally conserved ribonucleoprotein involved in the co-translational targeting of proteins to membranes. Archaeal SRP consists of a 7S RNA and homologues of the eukaryotic SRP19 and SRP54 proteins. In most bacteria, the SRP consists of a 4.5S RNA and the Ffh protein (a homologue of the eukaryotic SRP54 protein). RNAcentral also lists the same sequence under 1 other name. The record is from RNAcentral. Lineage: Bacteria; Pseudomonadati; Myxococcota; Myxococcia.
CGCUGGGUCCCGGCCGGUGGUCGGUCCGUGAACCCCGCCAGGUCCGGAAGGAAGCAACGGUAGCGGUGCUCUCCAGGUGGUCGGAUCGGCCCAGCGAUC